RNAcentral lists this long non-coding RNA (484 nucleotides) under Manacus vitellinus (golden-collared manakin). RNAcentral describes it as "lncRNA (ENSMVIG00005000142.1)". The record is from RNAcentral. Lineage: Eukaryota; Metazoa; Chordata; Aves; Passeriformes; Pipridae.
GUGGAGAAUUGGGUUAGAAAGAGGUGAAGGUGAAGAUCAAUGGAGGCUUUAGGGCUGGCUGUGUGUUUUGCUGGGUUUGUGUGACUGUGCCCAGAGGGCGGAGUUCCUGCACAUUCCUACCUCACCGGAGAACCUGCCCUCAACUCCACUGCAGCUACUCCAGAGAGAUGGGACCCUUCAGAAGAAACCUGCCCAGCAAUCCCAGCAAGCCUUCCCGCCAGAAGGAUUCCAGGAGAAACUGCCUCUACCUGCAAGAAAGGCGCACGUUGGCACUUGGGGAUAGAAGUCCUCCAUCGGCACCGGGUAUCUGUGGAGGAAGAAGGUGACGUGACGAGAAAAGCCUGACAGCCAAAGCGGGAACUGUCCGGGAGAAGGAUCCGUGAUGAAUGAAGCCUGUGAAGUCCUGAUGCAAAAGCAGAGCAGGACAGUGUGUUGGCAAACCCAAAUACCGGUUUUUGUUCUCUGGAACCAAAAAGGAAAAUGG